CCCUCAAGAUGAGAUUUCCCAGUAUGUAAGACCCCUGAAAGACGAUCAGGUUGAUAGGUUCGAGGUGGAAGUGCAGCAAUGCAUGCAGCUGACGAAUACUAAUCGGUCGAGGGCUUAUCCUA
Molecule: ribosomal RNA, 122 nt
Filed under: Paenibacillus lignilyticus
Lineage: Bacteria; Bacillati; Bacillota; Bacilli; Caryophanales; Paenibacillaceae
Description: partial 23S ribosomal RNA
Rfam family: Bacterial large subunit ribosomal RNA
Source: RNAcentral